CGUACUACGCUCACAUUCGACUACCCUCGUGCUUCAUCCCCGCGCUACAUCGUGUUUCCCGAUCGUGAUACCGCAUGUGAUAUUCAAGCGAAUCAAGUUAUUCACUUCAACAAGCGCGCGCAAGGAACCUGUAAACUUGUGCGCGGUCGACGAGAAAUCGAUUGUUAAAAGCGGUCGAAAUGAAUGGUUCUUCUACUAUUCCGCACUUGCUGAGAACGAAUUUCGGUGUGCUCUAAAUUUCUUCCGCUACAAAAAGAUUCAAAAAUUUUUUUCCAGAAUUGAUAUACAUUAAUACAUAUCUGUGAGGUGGAGUCUAUGCUGACAAUGAGAACAACAAAAAAUUUCGAAAUUGAGAUUGAUUUUUAUCAUUUCUUAAUCCAAUAUGGCGCUUCAGAACUGUCACGUCGUACAACAUUUGCUUCAUAUAAAAGCUGUGCAAUCUGUAUUUACGAAAUAGUAGUUCACAGACUAGUAGUUUGUAUGAAGAACAGUGGAAUUCUUAAAAUUAAACUUAGACAUCUAAU
Acromyrmex echinatior (Panamanian leafcutter ant) is the source of this 524-nucleotide long non-coding RNA. The record is from RefSeq and is a predicted model, not a curated record. NCBI's taxonomy places the organism in Eukaryota, Metazoa, Arthropoda, Insecta, Hymenoptera, Formicidae.